CAGUCGCCGCGGGAAUACGGAGGGGGCUAGCGUUGUUCGGAAUUACUGGGCGUAAAGCGCACGUAGGCGGCUUGGUAAGUUAGAGGUGAAAGCCCGGAGCUCAACUCCGGAAUUGCCUUUAAGACUGCCGAGCUAGUAGGUGAGAGAGGUAAGUGGAAUUCCGAGUGUAGAGGUGAAAUUCGUAGAUAUUCGGAAGAACACCAGUGGCGAAGGCGGCUUACUGGCUCAUUCUAGACGCUGAGGUGCGAAAGCGUGGGGAGCAAACAGGAUUAGAUACCCGUGUAGUCCCUGUCUCUUAUAC
RNAcentral lists this ribosomal RNA (301 nucleotides) under uncultured bacterium. Its description in RNAcentral is "partial 16S ribosomal RNA". It matches the Rfam family "Bacterial small subunit ribosomal RNA", at positions 509 to 807 of the family's 1533-position model. The record is from RNAcentral.